UAAGGUAACCCUUUCAAGCCAGCUGCAACCAAUGUAAUACGCCAAAAAUGUUGUUAUAAUUUGAAUUAGCCUUGAACGGAAAUUUAAAUUUCAAGUAAAAAAAUAUACGUGGCGUGUUAUGGAAUGAAUUUAAAUCCCAACUUAAAUUCAUAUUUUCGAUUAUUUAUAGCACCAACGAUUCCUUGAAGACAUUAAGAAACCAGAUUUGUGACCAUGAAAUACAUAUUUUUUAAAUUUCUCUAAAUUUUCUACAUUUUAGUGAUGAAUCUUGUGUAAACAUUCGCAAUAUGGGGACCAAUUGAUUGAAGUCAAAAUACUUGUAAUGAAAAAUGAUCCGGCCAUAGUCCAUAGUAAACAGCAUUAGCGAACAUUCCAAACAACCAACUUGGUAGCAUAUGGAACACUGUAUACCAGUUUUUCCUGAGUAUGGGUGGCGAUCCACCAGUGGUUGUAGUCUACAGGACGAUGUAUAUAAACCGGGGUGUUAAGAGCGGAAAUCUUGGGGAAGAGAUUGACAAACUACAAGCUAAUAUGUCGAUAAAAUCACUGAAAAAUACUUUAAAUCGCAAACAAUUAAUGACUGCCUAAUGGUGGAUGGGAAGUAUCCUCGCCUGGUUUGAUGAAGCUAUAUAAUAUAAUAAUAUUCCUAAUAUGGUUGGAACUAAUGCUAAUUUUAAAAUGUAAAAAAAAUAGAAAACAAAAGCAUUGAAAUAAAUUGUUUGUACUUUUUUCCUCUAUUGCCAACCAGUA
This is a long non-coding RNA of Musca domestica (house fly), 750 nucleotides long. RefSeq lists it as uncharacterized. The record is from RefSeq and is a predicted model, not a curated record. NCBI's taxonomy places the organism in Eukaryota, Metazoa, Arthropoda, Insecta, Diptera, Muscidae. The transcript is spliced from 4 exons.